RNAcentral lists this ribosomal RNA (245 nucleotides) under uncultured bacterium. Its description in RNAcentral is "partial small subunit ribosomal RNA". It matches the Rfam family "Bacterial small subunit ribosomal RNA", at positions 26 to 285 of the family's 1533-position model. The record is from RNAcentral.
AGAAUCAACGCUGGCGGCAUGCCUAACACAUGCAAGUCGAACGAGAAAGUGGAGCAAUCCAUGAGUAAAGUGGCGCACGGGUGAGUAACACGUGACUAACCUACCCUUGAGUGGGGAAUAACUUCGGGAAACCGAGGCUAAUACCGCAUAACACCUACGGGUCAAAGGAGCAAUUCGCUUAAGGAGGGGGUCGCGGCAGAUUAGUUAGUUGGCGGGGUAAUGGCCCACCAAGACGGUGAUCUGUA